AGAGUUUGAUCCUGGCUCAGGAUGAACGCUAGCGGCAGGCUUAAUACAUGCAAGUCGUGGGGCAGCGCGGGUAGCAAUACCUGGCGGCGACCGGCAAACGGGUGCGGAACACGUACGCAACCUUCCUUUAAGUGAGGAAUAGCCCAGGGAAACUUGGAUUAAUACCUCGUAACAUUAUGAGAUGGCAUCAUCUUAUAAUUAUAGCUACGGCGCUUAAAGAUGGGCGUGCGGCUGAUUAGGUAGUUGGCGGGGUAAUAGCCCACCAAGCCUACGAUCAGUAACUGGUGUGAGAGCACGACCAGUCACACGGGCACUGAGACACGGGCCCGACUCCUACGGGAGGCAGCAGUAAGGAAUAUUGGUCAAUGGACGCAAGUCUGAACCAGCCAUGCCGCGUGGAGGAUGAAGGCCCUCUGGGUUGUAAACUUCUUUUAUUUGGGAAGAAACCCAUCUUUUCUAAGGUGGUUGACGGUACCAGAUGAAUAAGCACCGGCUAACUCCGUGCCAGCAGCCGCGGUAAUACGGAGGGUGCAAGCGUUAUCCGGAUUCACUGGGUUUAAAGGGUGCGUAGGUGGGCAGGUAAGUCAGUGGUGAAAUCUCUGGGCUUAACCCAGAAACUGCCGUUGAUACUAUCUGUCUUGAAUAUAGUGGAGGUGAGCGGAAUAUGUCAUGUAGCGGUGAAAUGCUUAGAUAUGACAUAGAACACCCAUUGCGAAGGCAGCUCGCUACACUAUUAUUGACACUGAGGCACGAAAGCGUGGGGAUCAAACAGGAUUAGAUACCCUAGUAGUCC
RNAcentral lists this ribosomal RNA (793 nucleotides) under uncultured bacterium. RNAcentral describes it as "bacterial SSU rRNA". It matches the Rfam family "Bacterial small subunit ribosomal RNA", at positions 8 to 796 of the family's 1533-position model. The record is from RNAcentral.